RNAcentral lists this microRNA (20 nucleotides) under Anolis carolinensis (green anole). RNAcentral's name for it is "aca-miR-460b-3p". Its record names the gene aca-miR-460b-3p. Lineage: Eukaryota; Metazoa; Chordata; Lepidosauria; Squamata; Anolidae. The record is from miRBase by way of RNAcentral.
ACAGCGCAUGCAAUGUGGAC